RNAcentral lists this long non-coding RNA (657 nucleotides) under Mizuhopecten yessoensis (Yesso scallop). RNAcentral's name for it is "uncharacterized LOC110443207, transcript variant X1". The record is from RNAcentral. Lineage: Eukaryota; Metazoa; Mollusca; Bivalvia; Pectinida; Pectinidae.
GAGAAUAUUAUUCAAGAGAUAUCAAAGGAAUGUCCUGAAUUGUUAAAAACAUUAACAUGUGCUUUAGGCAACAAGAUAAAGUUUGAGUCUAAGAUUGCCACCAUUUCAACAAUCUAUGGCAUGAUACUACAUAGCAGAAACAACCAGGUGUCGGGGAUACAGAGGCUGUAUACAACAAUGGCAGUGAGGUACCAUGCAGAUAAUAAGUAUGACAGAAACUCUGUUUUCCCUUGCUUAUAUGCUUUCAGCUUUGACUACUGACUCGACUGAACAAGAUCCAUCUUACUUUAACAGAGGAUUCCAAACGAAACAUCAUUAAAAGCUUUGGUAAAGAAAGUGAGAGUCAUCUUAUUCAGGAGUUGGCACAAGGUCAUGAUGGAAAACUAAACGGUGACAACUUGGAUAUCAGAGUGCAAACAAAUGAUAUAAGGAUGACUAACCAUGAUAAAGAUUAUCAUUUCUUUGCCAGUGACUUUACUUUAGAUCGUGUAAAUCUGAAAGAACUCAACUCCGAUAUUCCUCACAUUGACGAUGUGCCCGUCCAAAGUUUUAUUCCUAGUGACAAGGAAACAGACCUCUUCAAGGUAACUCUCAAACUACUACUGGCAAAGGAAAUGAUGACUCUGCCAGGGUUUCAUUGGAUGAAGAGCAUUGUUC